Molecule: unclassified non-coding RNA, 216 nt
Filed under: soil metagenome
Description: partial contains 5.8S ribosomal RNA, internal transcribed spacer 2, and large subunit ribosomal RNA
Source: RNAcentral
AACGAGGCCGACCUGCGGCUGAGUUACCUGCGGAGGGAUCAUUACGUAUUAGGGCUGCCUCUGGCGCUCUUUACACACCCACCCAUUGCCUAUGCGUACCUCUGAUAGCUUCCUCGGCGGGCUCGCCCCGCCGAUAGGAACCCCCAUAACCCUUUGCAUCGUACACGAAAACUUCCGAUACCCACCUAAAUUAUCACAACUUUUAACAAUGGAUCU